AGGUCAGAGGCACAGCAGACGCGCCCCGACCAGGCGCCUUCUAAGCGCUUGGCCGCAGGUUCGAGUCCUGCCGGGG
RNAcentral lists this transfer RNA (76 nucleotides) under Streptomyces sp. TRM68416. RNAcentral's name for it is "tRNA-Arg". It matches the Rfam family "tRNA", at positions 9 to 68 of the family's 71-position model. Rfam says of the family: Transfer RNA (tRNA) molecules are approximately 80 nucleotides in length. Their secondary structure includes four short double-helical elements and three loops (D, anti-codon, and T loops). Further hydrogen bonds mediate the characteristic L-shaped molecular structure. tRNAs have two regions of fundamental functional importance: the anti-codon, which is responsible for specific mRNA codon recognition, and the 3' end, to which the tRNAs corresponding amino acid is attached (by aminoacyl-tRNA synthetases). tRNAs cope with the degeneracy of the genetic code in two manners: having more than one tRNA (with a specific anti-codon) for a particular amino acid; and 'wobble' base-pairing, i.e. permitting non-standard base-pairing at the 3rd anti-codon position. Lineage: Bacteria; Bacillati; Actinomycetota; Actinomycetes; Kitasatosporales; Streptomycetaceae. The record is from RNAcentral.